UGCCAGCCGCCGCGGUAAUACGUAGGGACCUAGCGUAGUUCGGAAUUACUGGGCUUAAAGAGCUCGUAGGUGGUUAAAAAAGUUGAUGGUGAAAUCCCAAGGCUCAACCUUGGAACUGCCAUCAAAACUUUUUAGCUAGAGUGUGAUAGAGGUAAGUGGAAUUUCUAGUGUAGAGGUGAAAUUCGUAGAUAUUAGAAAGAACACCAGUGGCGAAGGCGGCUCACUGGCUCGAUACUGACGCUGAGGUACGAAAGUGUGGGGAGCAAACAGGAUUAGAUA
This 279-nucleotide ribosomal RNA is filed under the name uncultured bacterium. RNAcentral's name for it is "partial 16S ribosomal RNA". It matches the Rfam family "Bacterial small subunit ribosomal RNA", at positions 506 to 784 of the family's 1533-position model. The record is from RNAcentral.